Molecule: ribosomal RNA, 325 nt
Filed under: uncultured eukaryote
Lineage: Eukaryota
Description: partial 18S ribosomal RNA
Rfam family: Eukaryotic small subunit ribosomal RNA
Source: RNAcentral
CCCCUAGAUGUUCUGGGCCGCACGCGCGCUACACUGAACAGUUCAACAAGUCUUAACCUUGGCCGAUAGGUCUGGGUAAUCUUUGAACGCUGUUCGUGAUUGGGAUAGACCUUUGCAAUUAUGGGUCUUCAACGAGGAAUUCCUAGUAAACGCAAGUCAUCAGCUUGCAUUGAUUACGUCCCUGCCCUUUGUACACACCGCCCGUCGCUCCUACCGAUUGGGUGUGCUGGUGAAGUGUUCGGAUUGGCUCCUAUUGGUGGCAACACUGAUUGGAGCCGAGAAGAUCAUUAAACCCUCCCACCUAGAGGAAGGAGAAGUCGUAACA